Molecule: ribosomal RNA, 301 nt
Filed under: uncultured bacterium
Lineage: Bacteria
Description: partial 16S ribosomal RNA
Rfam family: Bacterial small subunit ribosomal RNA
Source: RNAcentral
CGGUAGCCGCGGGAAUACGGAUGGUGCAAGCGUUAUCCGGAUUUAUUGGGUUUAAAGGGUCCGUAGGCGGACUUAUAAGUCAGUGGUGAAAGCCUGUCGCUUAACGAUAGAACUGCCAUUGAUACUGUAAGUCUUGAGUAUAUUUGAGGUAGCUGGAAUAAGUAGUGUAGCGGUGAAAUGCAUAGAUAUUACUUAGAACACCAAUUGCGAAGGCAGGUUACCAAGAUAUAACUGACGCUGAGGGACGAAAGCGUGGGUAGCGAACAGGAUUAGAUACCCCUGUAGUCCCUGUCUCUUAUAC